This 1460-nucleotide long non-coding RNA is filed under the name Ficedula albicollis (Collared flycatcher). Its description in RNAcentral is "lncRNA (ENSFALG00000017811.2)". The record is from RNAcentral. Lineage: Eukaryota; Metazoa; Chordata; Aves; Passeriformes; Muscicapidae.
CCCCCCCCCCCCCCCCCCCCCCCCCCCCCCCCCCCCCCCCCCCCCCCCCCCCCCCCCCCCCCCCCCCCCCCCCCCCCCCCCCCCCCCCCCCCCCCCCCCCCCCCCCCCCCCCCCCCCCCCCCCCCCCCCCCCCCCCCCCCCCCCCCCCCCCCCCCCCCCCCCCCCCCCCCCCCCCCCCCCCCCCCCCCCCCCCCCCCGCCCAAACCCCACAGAACCUCCUAAGAAAUCCUACAGAGCCCAAAUCCCAUAGAGCCCAAAUCCCACAGAGCCCAAACCCCACAGAGCCUCCUGAGAGAUGCCAGAAAGCCCAAACCCCUCAGAGCCCAAACCCCACAGAACCUCCUAAGAAAUCCUACAGAGCCCAAAUCCCAUAGAGCCCAAAUCCCAGAGUCCAAAACCCACAGAGCCCAAAUCCCACAGAGCAAAUCCUACAGAGCCCAAAUCCCACAGAGCCUCCUAAGAAACCCCACAGGGCCCACACCCCACAGAGCCUCCUGAGAGAUGCCAGAGAGCCCAAACUCCACAGUGCCCAAACCCCACAGAACCUCCUAAGAAAUCCUACAGAGCCCAAAUCCCAUAGAGCCCAAAUCCCACAGAGCCCAAACCCCACAGAGCCUCCUGAGAGAUGCCAGAGAGCCCAAACCCCACAGAGCCCAAACCCCACAGAGCCCAAACCCCACAGAACCUCCUAAGAAAUCCUACAGAGCCCAAAUCCCAUAGAGCCCAAACCCCACAGAGCCCAAACCCCACAGAGCCCAAAUCCCACGUAGCUUCCUGAGAAAUUCCACAGACCCCACAGGUCCCUCCAUCCCAAACCCCACAGGCUCCCCAGUCCCAAAGGUGCUCACACCUCUGGCCAAUCCCAAACCCCUUUUGCCAACCCCAACCCCUCUGCCCAAUCCCAAAUCCCUCUAUCCAAUCCCAAACCCCUUUUGCCAAUCCCAAACCCCCCGGGCCAAUCCCACUGUCCAGAGGCCGAUUUGGGGCCCCAAUCCCCGCCCCACAGCGCUUCUCCGCAGCCGGGGCGGCUCCCGGCGCUGCGGAAUUAGGAUUUCAUUGGGGUUUGGAGCCUCUGCUCCGCCCAGCGCGGCCACCCCGACACCGGGAUGGGGAUCCCGGUGCUGCUCCCGGUUCUCCCGGUGCCCCGNGGUUUGGGGUUUGGGUUUAGGUUUAGGUUUGGGUUUAGGUGUUUUGGUGCCGGGUUUCCCUCUCAGUACACCCCAGACCACUCCGUGUUUCAGAUCACAUUUAAUGUCCUGGAACAAUCCCAAUCUCUGGGAAUGAUCCCAAUAUCUGGGAACAAUCACAACCUCUAAGAACAAUCCCAGUCUCUGGGAAGGAUCCCAAUCUCUGGGUCUUGUCCUCGGUUCAACCUUUGGAAACCUCAGGUCUGGCUUUGGAAAUGAACAAAUGCUGAAGGGGCAGCUGCCCAGAGUGUCCUGAGAAAUCCCACAGGGCCC